CGACCGGCGCACGGGUGAGUAACGCGUGGAAAACCUGCCGUAUACUGGGGGAUAACACUUAGAAAUAGGUGCUAAUACCGCAUAAGCGCACAGCUUCGCAUGAAGCGGUGUGAAAAACUCUGGUGGUAUACGAUGGUUCCGCGUCUGAUUAGCUAGUUGGUGGGGUAAUGGCCUACCAAGGCAACGAUCAGUAGCCGGCCUGAGAGGGUGAACGGCCACAUUGGGACUGAGACACGGCCCAAACUCCUACGGAAGGCAGCAG
Molecule: ribosomal RNA, 262 nt
Filed under: uncultured bacterium
Lineage: Bacteria
Description: partial 16S ribosomal RNA
Rfam family: Bacterial small subunit ribosomal RNA
Source: RNAcentral